AACAUUUCUUUUAGUUAAUUAAACACAAUAAAAAUAAAAAGUAAGACCUGCCCACUGUAUUAAUAAAGGGCCGCGGUAUUAUGACCGUGCAAAGGUAGCAUAAUCAUUAGUCUUUUAAUUGGAGAAUGGUAUGAAUGGUUAAAUGGUUUUUUGUUUUACUUUAAUAAUUUUUUUUUUGGAAUUUUGAUUUUAAGUGAAAAUACUUAAAUAAGUUAAAUAGACGAUAAGACCCUAUAGAAUUUUAUUUUAUUUUAUUUUAUUAAAAAAUUAAUUAAAGUUUAAAUGGGGAAUUAAUAGAAUAAGUUAAACUUCUACUAUAAAAUAUAUAUUUAUAGUCUUUAAACUUAAAGGAUUUAAAAAAAAUUACCUUAGGGAUAACAGCGUAAUUGUUUUUGAGAGUUCAUAUCGACAAAAUAGUUUGCGACCUCGAUGUUGAAUUAAAAUACCUAAAAGGAGCAGAAUUUUUUUAAGGUAGUCUGUUCGACUAUAAAAUUUUUACAUGAUUUGAGU
This 510-nucleotide ribosomal RNA is filed under the name Tomocerus sp. 5 FZ-2014. Its description in RNAcentral is "partial 16S ribosomal RNA". It matches the Rfam family "Bacterial large subunit ribosomal RNA", at positions 1812 to 2610 of the family's 2925-position model. The record is from RNAcentral. Lineage: Eukaryota; Metazoa; Arthropoda; Collembola; Entomobryomorpha; Tomoceridae.